This 470-nucleotide long non-coding RNA is filed under the name Nicotiana benthamiana. RNAcentral describes it as "long non-coding RNA (NBEN_LNC026438)". Lineage: Eukaryota; Viridiplantae; Streptophyta; Magnoliopsida; Solanales; Solanaceae. The record is from RNAcentral.
CAUUUUCUUCUCUGGACUGAGUUUCCCCCGGUGCCAUUGAUUUUUCCGUACCGUCGUAAUAGACGAGGUCUUCUGAGCUCUCUUUUUCUGUGAAGAAGGGUGGUUACCGAAGAUCCAAAGCAAAGGAAGAGCGAGCUAUGAUUCCCAGUUCGUUAAUCAAUAGAAGAUACCCACGGGUUACUUCCUUUCUACACAGGAACGGAACGAGUUGACCAGACCAUUCAACAUCCGAAGGACUCUUACCGCUAGAACGACCGAUGCCUGAUUCAUUUCUCGCUCACGACCCCUUAAGGUUUGCACUCACUCUCUUUCGAUAGAAAAAGGAAGAAAUUACCGGGAGUUGAAGAGUAAGAAAAGGUCUUCCCCUUAGGCCUUUAGACCUGACCAAGAGAAGUAAGACCGGUAGCCAAUAACUCAGAAAGAAAGGUCCCUCGAGCUUUCUUAGUAGUUAGACGAGUGCUCAGAUCAAG